UCAGUUUAAGGCUUUAAUGUUCUACUAAUCCAAGUGAAAGCCAGUGAGCCACACCCUGGCACUGGUGGCCUGCUGGAAAGCAGCCUGCGUCGCUCUUUAACAAGGCGGCAAGUGAAACACUUUCACUUUCCUUUGGCAGAACCUGCCUCAGUCACAGAAGUGAGAGACCACACAGGCUUCAUACUGUAACAUAGGGAUGCAAGGACAGAGGUUUUGUUAAACCAACGAAGGGUCGCCAUUACCUCAUGUGUACACAGUUUCCAGAAGAAGAGGAGGCCUCGCCACCAAACCCGAGCGAGGGCUGCAGCAGCUGGUCGGCUGAGGAUUCCUCAAGCAUCUCACAAAAAAGGAGAAUGAAGCGCUGCCCGUUGUGCAGAGUGCGCUGUGCCAGUCGCUCAGAGCUCCUCAGGAGUGCGCACGGUGUCACGGAUCAGAAAGAGCGCAUACUCGUGCUGGGAAAGGCUUCAGGAAGAGUACCUGAUAGCAAAGUUCAACAGUAACUUGAGGUCCAGGCCGAGCAGGAGGGAUAAACGCCAACUUAAGAAGGCUGUUUUGUACAUCACAUGUGGGGGAUGAAAAGCCCCCCCCCUCUCAUGUUUUUAAAGACAGGGAAGGUCUUAAGGUAAAUGUUGUUGUCUGGUAACUGCUGACAUCAGUGUGACACUCAUCCGUAGGCCUUUUCUAUUGGUUAGGUGGAUAGCAAAGAAGAGGCAGAGCCCGGCAGAACCCAGAAGGGGCCACCUGGUAGCCAUCAGGAGGUUCUUGGUGUUCCUGAGGAGGGAGGACUUCUCCCAGGUGAUGAGGCCAUAUGAAGGUCUGUCUGCAACAUGAGGUCCAGUUCCUGUGUUCCUUCCUCAAGUCCGUCUGUCUGCAGCACAGGUGAUGUCGCUGGACAGGGUGCUGAAAAGGGAACUCUCCAGCCUCCCAAAGCAGACCGGGACCCGCCCCCAGGGGGAGGUCCAGUCUGGUCUUUCAGAAGAUGGGAAGAGAAAAGGGCCAAAAACCACCGCAGCCACAGAUGCUAAUCCGUGGAGAGGACUCAAACAAAACUGAAGUCACACCAGAGGCGUGCGCGACCUCAGAGGAGACGGACGACAGAUGAAGAGGACCAAAAAGUUGGAAGCACCGAUGCACAGCAUAACUUAGCAUCUCACUGUGUGGGGGGGGAACUUCUUACCUCAUCUUUUUUACUCCUCUGAAGAAGUUGCUGAGGCUAAGCCGCCCCACUUUCUCCACCCACUAAUAUUACACUGCAGACUUACUGCCAAAAUGUUUCACACAGCCUCUAUCAGACUUUGUAUAAAACUUAUACACCGUCAAACAUCGCUUUAGCUUACUUCAUUUCAUGUUUUCUUAUUGCAGGACAGUGGUUGUUGCCUGCCCAAAGCCAACUAGGAGGAGGGUUUUAAGGAACCCCGACGAUCUCAAGGCAGAUAUCCGGAGAGUCUGCCGUGAUGUGUGGAGUGAAAUGAUCACCGUUGGAAUGAUGAAUGCCGUUCUCAGCAGACGGCCAGCACUUUGGCAGAAAUACCACAAACUCAAGUUAACCAUACACAACUAACGAGCUCUGGUCCUCAAAUUGCAGGCAGAGUGAUUUUUUAAUUAUUUUUUAUUUUGUUAGAGCAUUUUUUAAGCUGUUUUAUUUAUUGCAGGG
Micropterus dolomieu (smallmouth bass) is the source of this 1654-nucleotide long non-coding RNA. RefSeq lists it as uncharacterized. The transcript is spliced from 7 exons. The record is from RefSeq and is a predicted model, not a curated record. Lineage: Eukaryota; Metazoa; Chordata; Actinopteri; Centrarchiformes; Centrarchidae.